This 773-nucleotide ribosomal RNA is filed under the name uncultured Neocallimastigales. RNAcentral describes it as "partial large subunit ribosomal RNA". It matches the Rfam family "Eukaryotic large subunit ribosomal RNA", at positions 24 to 642 of the family's 3401-position model. The record is from RNAcentral. Lineage: Eukaryota; Fungi; Neocallimastigomycota; Neocallimastigomycetes; Neocallimastigales.
UAUCUCUGUAGAGUCUGCAUAUCAAAAGCGGAGGAAAAGAAACUAACAAGGAUUCCCCUAGUAACGGCGAGUGAAGCGGGAAGAGCUCAAAUUUGAAAUCUUCAAGGUUCUACCUUGACGAAUUGUAGUUUAAAGGAGUGUUUUCGGUUAGAGGAGUAGUAAAAGUUCUUUGGAAUAGGACAUCAUAGAGGGUGAGAAUCCCGUAUUUGACUAUUCUUUCUAGCUUUGUGAUACACUUUCAAAGAGUCGGAUUGUUUGAGAAUGCAGUCCAAAAUGGGUGGUAAAUUUCAUCUAAAGCUAAAUAUUGGCGAGAGACCGAUAGCGAACAAGUACCGUGAGGGAAAGAUGAAAAGAACUUUGAAAAGAGAGUUAAACAGUACGUGAAAUUGUCAAAAGGGAAGCGUUUGACACCAGUGUUGUUUUUCCGAAAAUCAAUUAAAAAUUGAUUCAUGCCAGGUUGUAUUGACCUUAUCAGCUUGCAAUUUGGUUUUGGGUCUCUUUUUGAUGCACUUUUCGGUUAACAAGUCAACAUCAAUUUCCUUUGCUGUAAAAAGGUAAGAGGAAGGUGGCUUCAAUUUCGGUUGAAGUGUUUAUAGCCUUUUAUCUCUGCAGUCGGGGAGAUUGAGGUCUGCAGCGUAGAUCCUUCGGGGCUAGAUACAUUUAUGCUAAGUUAUAGCUUUUCAUAGACAACUUGUUAACUAUGUUUAGUCAUGUAGCUUACUCGUAAGUGCUAUUUUACCUACGCUUAGGAUGUUGAGCGCAUGUCUCUCUCU